CCGGGUGUAGCGUAAUUUGGUUGAGCGCGCCUGCUUUGGGAGCAGGAGAUUUGCAGGUUCAAAUCCUGCCGUCCGGA
This 77-nucleotide transfer RNA is filed under the name Herbidospora galbida. It matches the Rfam family "tRNA". From Rfam's summary of the family: Transfer RNA (tRNA) molecules are approximately 80 nucleotides in length. Their secondary structure includes four short double-helical elements and three loops (D, anti-codon, and T loops). Further hydrogen bonds mediate the characteristic L-shaped molecular structure. tRNAs have two regions of fundamental functional importance: the anti-codon, which is responsible for specific mRNA codon recognition, and the 3' end, to which the tRNAs corresponding amino acid is attached (by aminoacyl-tRNA synthetases). tRNAs cope with the degeneracy of the genetic code in two manners: having more than one tRNA (with a specific anti-codon) for a particular amino acid; and 'wobble' base-pairing, i.e. permitting non-standard base-pairing at the 3rd anti-codon position. Lineage: Bacteria; Bacillati; Actinomycetota; Actinomycetes; Streptosporangiales; Streptosporangiaceae. The record is from Rfam by way of RNAcentral.